GCCUCAUAUAUUUAAAGCAAAAAUUAACUGAAAAAAUAAUAUAGAUAGAUACAUCUAUGAUUAUAUUGGAAAAUUUUACUAUGCUUUUCUCAAUAAUUGAGAGAAAAAGCAGACAAAAAUUAAUGAUACAUAACAACAUAAUAAAGAGAUAUAUACACUUGACCUAAUGGACAUAUAUAACACUGCAUCAUAUAUUCUUUAAAAAAUGACAUGAAAUAUUUAUUGACCAUAUAUUGAAUCAUAAACAAUCAACAAAUUUCUUUUUUUUUUUUUUUUUGGUCUUUUUGCCAUUUCUUGGGCCACACCUGUGGCAUAUAGAAGUUCCCAGGCUAGGGGUCUAAUCGGAGCUGUAGCCACCGGCCUAUGCCAGAGCCACAGCAACACAGGAUCAGAGCCGUCUCUGCAACCUACACCACAGCUCAUGGCAAUGCCGGAUCCUUAACCCACUGAGCAAGCCCAGGGAUCGAACCCGCAACCUCAUGUUCCUAGUCGGAUUCGUUAACCACUGAGUCACGGCAGGAACUCCCACAAUCAAGAAAUUGCUAAGAAAAUCAUAUGAAGAAGGUGUUAUAAGAACAAUACAAUCUAUAAAUCAGUUUUUCUUAAAUAUCAGAAACUUCCCAUGGGUUAGAAGCAAGUUAGAAAUCAGAAAAAGCAUAAAAGAAAGAAAAUUAAAAUAGAAGACAGCAAAACUAGGAACAUCUGUUUAUUUUGAAGAAAUUACAUUUUUUAAAAGCAUAUAUUAAAAGACAGAAAAAAUUGAGCUAAACAUUCAUUUCACUCAAUUAAAGAAAAUCACAUUAAAGUCCAAAAAAUGUAGAAAGGCUAAAUAUUCAAAGAGAAAUUAAUGAACUAGAAAGCGUAAACACAAUAGAGAGGAUCGAUGUCAAAAUUUGGCUCUCCAAAAAGACAAAUAAAACUGAUAAAAUACUAAUGAACAAAUAAGAGAAGACACACCCAUAUUAGAAACAACAAAAGGAACAUCUUGCAGACAUUAAAGAGAUUAAGAGGAUAUUAUGAACAGCUUAUGACAAUAAAUAUAAAUUUAGGACAAAUGGAUGAAUUCCCAGAAAAAUGUAACUAUGACUCAAGGAGAAAGAGGAAACAUGAAUAAUCUCACAGCCAUGAAAGAAACUGUAUCAAUAAUGAAAAGUCUUCUCACAACUAAACUCCAGGCACAAAUGACUCCAUUGGCCAAUUAACCAAAUAUAACUCAUGCUUACUAUAGAAGCUAGCACAAUUUUGAUACCAAAACCCAAAGCAAUUAUAAGGUACAGGAGAGUUAAGGUCAACCUAACUACAAACAAAGAUGCAAAAUGCCCAACCAAAUAAUGGCAAACUAAAUUCAGAAAUAUAUAAAAAUAACAGUACAUUUUAACAAAGGAAGAUUUAUUCCAAGAAUAUGUUUAGUUCAACAUGAAGAAGACAAUUUAAUUCACAUCACUGUCCCACUAUCUCAGUACAAGAAAUGCAGGAGAAUUAUUUAAUAAUAUCCAAUAAUUAUUCUUGGUAACAAAAUAUUUAGCAAAAUAGGAAUAAGGGAAUAAAGAGAAAAACUUAAUCUUGUAUCUUAGAGGCUGACAAACCUUUUCUUGUUAAAGAGCCAGAUAAUAAAUACUUUCAGCUUUGCAGGCCAUAUGAUCCCUGUCACAUUACUCAACUUUGCCAUUUCAGUGCAAAAAUGGCUGUAGAAAAUAGUGUUUACAUGAAUGGCAUAGUUAUAUUUCAAUAAAAUUUUACUUACAAAACCAGGUGGGAGGCCAGAUUGGGCCUCUGGGCCAUAGACUGCUGACUCCUAAGUUAAGGGGUAUCUAUAAAACAUAACCUAUUGGUACUUAUCACAAUUAAUGACAAAAGAAUUUCUCAGUGUUACAAUUAUGCUUCAUCUUCCAUUUGAUGAUCUGAUCAGUGCAAUAAGGUAAGAAAAAUAAAUAAAAGUACAAGAAUGGUUAGGAAGAAACAGAAGUUAUUAUUUGCAGAAGAAAUAAUUGUGUAUAUAUAAAAUCCAAAGAACCUAUAGAUAAAUUUUUAAUUUUUAGGGAUAAUUUAGUAUGGUUUCUGGAUAUAAAAAUCAAUAUAAACAUGUAUUCCUAACAAUAAAUACAAUUUGAAGUGUGAUAUAUUUACAAUUGUGAUUGAUAAUAUAAGGUACCUAAGAAUAUUUAUGAAACUAAUUGAAAAACAUUUAAAAAGAAAUUUAUGAAAAGAAAUUUCUGAAAGUAAAUUUAUGAAAUUGAAAAACAUUUAAGAUGACCAAAUAAAUGGAAAUAGAAAAUAUUUUCAUACAUUGAAAUACCUCUAUUUUAGAAAUGGCAGUUCUUCCCUACUCUACAGAUUCAAUACAAUUGCAAACAAAAUCUCAACAGUUUUUUUGUAAAGUUUGACAAGCUGAUUUUAAAAUAUAUGCAAAAUUUCAAGAGGUAAGAAAUGCAAAAAUAUUUUUGAAGAACAAGGUAGAAGAACUUGCUCUAACAGACAGCAAGACUUAUUUUAAAAUUCAAGUCAAUAAUAUAGCAUGGUAUUAGUCCAAUGACAAACAGCUAGGACACAAGCCACAUUGGUGUGAACAUUCAUAUAUGACAGAAGUAGCACCAUCAGUAAAGACAUAGAAGCUUUUUAAGUAAGUGGUGCUGAGAAAGAUGGAUAUCCCUGGAAAUAAACUAAAAUCAGACUCUUAUUCAUGCAAAUUACUAAAAUCAAUCAGAAAAUACCAACAUGAAAACAUAAAACUAUAAGCAUUUGGAAAUAAUAAAGAAACAUACCCAUCUGACCUUAGAGUGGGGAGAUUUCUUUAAACACACAUAACAAGCCAAAAAACACAAAUACAAACAAAAUUAUCCGUGAAGAAAGCUAUUGGUAAAUUCUUUCACAUAACAUUAAGAACAUCUGCUUAUCUAAAGGACUAAAGAAAAGAAAACUAUAAAUCAUAGAGGAAGAUAUCUGCAAUGUAUAAACACAAAAAGAAAUUGGUAUCUAGAAUUUAUAAUAACUCCUACAGAUUUUUUUAAAGACGAGACAGUAGAAAAGCAGACAAACAUUUUAACUAGAAAAGUGGCUAAAAACAAAAUAGUCCAAAUGGAAAAUAAACAUAAAAAAUGAUUCACAAUUUCAUCAGUAAUUAGGGUCAUACAGAUUUCCACAAUCAUUACAUAGCUGUCAGACUCACAGAAAUUUUAAAAGUUUAAUUACACUAGAAUGGGUAACAAUGUAGCAAUGGGAAACCUUAGGUACUGCUGGGAAUUCUUUGACAUUAUAUAUUUAAAUAUUUAUAUCCCCUUAGAUUCAACAAUUCUACAUCUACAGAAACUGGUACGUAUGUGAUCUAGAAAACAAGAACAAGUAUAUUCAUAGUGGGAAAUAUACCAAAUGUAUCACAAUGAGAAAAUACAUAUAUAUUGCGUUAUACCCACAUAAGGAAAUGGUAUACAUUUAAAAAUUCACGAAUUAUAUACAAUCACAGUGAAUAUAACAAUGUGGAUAGAUCUCACAAAUACAAUAUUGAGAUACAGAAGCUAAGCAAAAAGAAGUAUAUGAUUCCAUUCAAAUAGUUUUUUAAAAACCAGCUAAACUAAAAUGUAGUUAUUUUAGAGAUGCAUAUGAUAGUGUUAACACCCCCAUUCUUUAUAGAUUUAUGACAAAAGACCACAGAAUGGAUACAUUCAGUUCAGAGAUGGGGUUUGACUAGAGAGGGAUAGUGGGAGUUGGGAGUUCUGGGGAGCUGGCUUGCUUCUAUUUCUUCACUUCAGGUGACACACAGUGUUCACUCCAGAACUAUUUCUUCAUGUAACAACUAUUUGUUUUAUAACCUUUUCUAUAUACCUACUAUAUAAAAACAAAACAAAAUCACAACAAAACAUUUUGGUAAUAUCUUAUGUUCUUGUUCACUGAAAUCUUUAGUUUUCAUUCUGUUAUACCAAACAACUAUCCUGCAAUUUCUUAUAUUUUAUAAAUUAUAUUUCUCCCACUUAAAUGUGUUCCCUUCUGUUAUUGAACUUCAUAGCCUGGAAGAUAGGAGACUUCCCAUCAUGUUUAUUUACACUGUAACAAUGAAUUUAUACAUGCCAAAAAAUAUAUGAUAUACAGAAUGGCAGUUUCCCCACCCCUACCUUUCAAAGCUACUUAAG
Molecule: long non-coding RNA, 4124 nt
Filed under: Sus scrofa (pig)
Lineage: Eukaryota; Metazoa; Chordata; Mammalia; Artiodactyla; Suidae
Description: lncRNA (ENSSSCG00000056398.1, ENSSSCG00130020636.1)
Source: RNAcentral